RNAcentral lists this ribosomal RNA (1399 nucleotides) under uncultured Clavulina. Its description in RNAcentral is "eukaryotic LSU rRNA". The stretch from base 620 to 1399 matches the Rfam family "Eukaryotic large subunit ribosomal RNA", at positions 1 to 790 of the family's 3401-position model. Lineage: Eukaryota; Fungi; Basidiomycota; Agaricomycetes; Cantharellales; Hydnaceae. The record is from RNAcentral.
CGGAGGAUCAUUAAUGAAUUGUGAUGGGGUUUGAUGCUGGCGGCCGUCUAGUUUGGCCGUAUGUGCUCGCUUCCAACAAUCUUUAUCCAAACACCUGUGCACUUCUGAGGGCUUCUGAGUUGACCACGUCCAUGUCGAUGUGGUUUUCUUGGAUUCCCUUCAUAACAUACCCGAAUUGUAAUGCUGAAUGUGAUUGUGCCGUAAGGCCUUAAUAAAAUACAACUUUUAACAACGGAUCUCUUGGCUCUCGCAUCGAUGAAGAACGCAGCGAAAUGCGAUAAGUAAUGUGAAUUGCAGAAUUCAGUGAAUCAUCGAAUCUUUGAACGCACCUUGCGCUCCCUGGUAUUCCGGGGAGCACGCCUGUUCGAGUGUCGUGAAUACCCUCAAGCUUUGGUGCUUUUUCCUUUAAAAGUAUCCAGUGGCUUGGUUGUUGGGCUUUGCCGUGGUCCUUCAUUGGAACGGCUGGCCUUAAAGGCAUUAGCUAGCCCUCAUGUAGUGUUGGUUCUACUUGGCGUGAUAAUAAUCUGACCGCUGAGGACAUCUUUCGGGAUGGCCAGUCUCAUUUGGGCUGCUCCUAAUCCGGUUUUGUGGGUUCUUGAAUCCACUCCAUUCUCGACUUUGACCUCGAAUCAGGUGGGACUACCCGCUGAACUUAAGCAUAUCAAUAAGCGGAGGAAAAGAAACUAACAAGGAUUCCCCUAGUAACGGCGAGUGAAGCGGGAAGAGCUCAAAUUUAAAAUCUGGCAGCAUUGGCUGUCCGAAUUGUAAUCUAGAGAAGCGUUUUCCGCGCUGGACUGUGUAUAAGUUUCCUGGAUACGGAACAUCAUAGAGGGUGAGAAUCCCGUCUUUGACACAGACUACCAGUGCUUUGUGAUGCGCUCUCGACGAGUCGAGUUGUUUGGGAUUGCAGCUCAAAACGGGAGGUAAAUUCCUUCUAAAGCUAAAUAUUGGCGAGAGACCGAUAGCGAACAAGUACCGUGAGGGAAAGAUGAAAAGCACUUUGGAAAGAGAGUUAAACAGUACGUGAAAUUGUUAAAAGGGAAACGCUUGAAGUCAGUCGCAUCUGUUUGGACUCAGCCUCACUUCGGUUUGGUGCAUUUCCUUAUAGAUGGGCCAGCGUCCAUGUUGUCUGUCGGAAAAGGGGUGAAAGAAUGUGGCUCCUCCGGGAGUGUUAUAGCUUUUACUCGUAUGCGAGGGAUGAUAUGGAGUGGUACAGCAUGCUUCNGUGGUGCUUGUGCUGGCAUAAUGGCUUUAAACGACCCGUCUUGAAACACGGACCAAGGAGUCUAACAUAUCUGCGAGUGNUUGGGUGGAAAACCCGAGCGCAAAAUGAAAGUGACAGCUGGNAAUCCCUUAUGGGAGGCACCGGUACCCCGAGCUGACCUUUCUGUGACGCAUC